This is a long non-coding RNA of Haliotis rubra (blacklip abalone), 239 nucleotides long. RefSeq lists it as uncharacterized. Lineage: Eukaryota; Metazoa; Mollusca; Gastropoda; Lepetellida; Haliotidae. The transcript is spliced from 3 exons. The record is from RefSeq and is a predicted model, not a curated record.
GUUUGUAGCUAUUUGGGGUGUGAAUGGGGUUGGACUACAGAGUGAUGCCUACCACGCUGAACUGGUCCUGAAGGCAGACUCUACUCUGUGGCUGGUGAGGAGGUGCCAGGCCUACAACUGUGAGGGACAUUGUGUCUGUGCAGUGCAGGGCGGUACCUGUUCUGCCAGUAAAGCAUGUGCACAAGACAAAACAGAUCAAAAUAUCACAAUCAAAGACGUGGUGGACGUCAUGUCUCCAG